This 253-nucleotide ribosomal RNA is filed under the name uncultured bacterium. RNAcentral's name for it is "partial 16S ribosomal RNA". It matches the Rfam family "Bacterial small subunit ribosomal RNA", at positions 524 to 776 of the family's 1533-position model. The record is from RNAcentral.
UACAGAGGUGGCAAGCGUUGUUCGGAAUUACUGGGCGUAAAGGGCGCGUAGGCGGUUCGUUAAGUCCUGUGUGAAAUCCCCCGGCUCAACUGGGGAACGGCACAGGAAACUAGCGGGCUUGAGUUCGGGAGAGGGAAGCGGAAUUCCGGGUGUAGCGGUGAAAUGCGUAGAUAUCCGGAGGAACACCGGUGGCGGAGGCGGCUUCCUGGACCGACACUGACGCUGAGGCGCGAAAGCUAGGGGAGCAAACGGG